RNAcentral lists this non-coding RNA (27 nucleotides) under Mus musculus (house mouse). The record is from RNAcentral. Lineage: Eukaryota; Metazoa; Chordata; Mammalia; Rodentia; Muridae.
UGUUGAGUGCACAAGAAAUAUCGCCGG